CUGCCCUGUCCAGACGCAGCUGCAGGAACCAACACUAUCAUCCUGGUAGAUGCGGACGGCCACGUGACCUUCACUGAGCGUAGCAUGAUGGACAAGGACCUCUCCCACUGGGAGACCAGAACCUAUGAGUUCACACUGCAGAGCUAACCCCACCUCUGGGCCUGGCCAGUGGGCUCCUGGGGGGCCCUGCCUUGAGGGGCACUGUGGACAGGAAACCUUCCUUUGCCAUACUGCAUUGCACUGCCCGUGGCUUGGCCAGCAUCCCCCGGAUCAGGGCCCUGUGGUUUGUGUGUUACCCAUCUGUGUCCCCAUGCCCAGUUCAGGGUCUGCCUUUAUGCCAGUGAGGAGCAGCAGAGUCUGAUACUAGGUCUAGGACCGGCCGAGGUAUACCAUGAACAUGUGGAUACACCUGAG
Molecule: small RNA, 414 nt
Filed under: Pan troglodytes (chimpanzee)
Lineage: Eukaryota; Metazoa; Chordata; Mammalia; Primates; Hominidae
Description: processed transcript
Source: RNAcentral